GACGUAGGGCGCGAGCGUUGUCCGGAUUUAUUGGGCGUAAAGAGCUCGUAGGCGGCUCGUUGCGUCAAUCGUGAAAACCCGGGGCUUAACUUCGGGCUUGCGGUUGAUACGGGCGGGACUGGAGUUCGGUAGGGGAGACUGGAAUUCCUGGGUGUAGCGGGUGAAAUGCGCAGAUAAUCAGGAGGAACACCGAUGGCGAAGGCAGGUCUCUGGGCCACUGACUGACGCUGAGAAGCGAAAGCAUGGGGAGCGAACAGG
RNAcentral lists this ribosomal RNA (258 nucleotides) under uncultured bacterium. RNAcentral's name for it is "partial 16S ribosomal RNA". It matches the Rfam family "Bacterial small subunit ribosomal RNA", at positions 524 to 776 of the family's 1533-position model. The record is from RNAcentral.